GACGAACGCUGGCGGCGUGCUUAACACAUGCAAGUCGAACGAAGAGCGAUGGAAGCUUGCUUCUAUCAAUCUUAGUGGCGAACGGGUGAGUAACGCGUAAUCAACCUGCCCUUCAGAGGGGGACAACAGUUGGAAACGACUGCUAAUACCGCAUACGAUCUAACCUCGGCAUCGAGGAUAGAUGAAAGGUGGCCUCUACAUGUAAGCUAUCACUGAAGGAGGGGAUCGCGUCUGAUUAGCUAGUUGGAGGGGUAACGGCCCACCAAGGCGAUGAUCAGUAGCCGGUCUGAGAGGAUGAACGGCCACAUUGGGACUGAGACACGGCCCAGACUCCUACGGGAGGCAGCAGUGGGGAAUCUUCCGCAAUGGACGAAAGUCUGACGGAGCAACGCCGCGUGAGUGAUGACGGCCUUCGGGUUGUAAAGCUCUGUUAAUCGGGACGAAAGGCCUUCUUGCGAAUAGUUAGAAGGAUUGACGGUACCGGAAUAGAAAGCCACGGCUAACUACGUG
Molecule: ribosomal RNA, 510 nt
Filed under: uncultured bacterium
Lineage: Bacteria
Description: partial 16S ribosomal RNA
Rfam family: Bacterial small subunit ribosomal RNA
Source: RNAcentral